CGACUGGCGGCAGCUAUACAUGCAAGUCGAGCGGACAGAAGGGAGCUUGCUCCCGGAUGUUAGCGGCGGACGGGUGAGUAACACGUGGGUAACCUGCCUGUAAGACUGGGAUAACUCCGGGAAACCGGAGCUAAUACCGGAUAGUUCCUUGAACCGCAUGGUUCAAGGAUGAAAGACGGUUUCGGCUGUCACUUACAGAUGGACCCGCGGCGCAUUAGCUAGUUGGUGAGGUAACGGCUCACCAAGGCGACGAUGCGUAGCCGACCUGAGAGGGUGAUCGGCCACACUGGGACUGAGACACGGCCCAGACUCCUACGGGAGGCAGCAGUAGGGAAUCUUCCGCAAUGGACGAAAGUCUGACGGAGCAACGCCGCGUGAGUGAUGAAGGUUUUCGGAUCGUAAAGCUCUGUUGUUAGGGAAGAACAAGUGCAAGAGUAACUGCUUGCACCUUGACGGUACCUAACCAGAAAGCCACGGCUAACUACGUGCCAGCAGCCGCGGUAAUACGUAGGUGGCAAGCGUUGUCCGGAAUUAUUGGGCGUAAAGGGCUCGCAGGCGGUUUCUUAAGUCUGAUGUGAAAGCCCCCGGCUCAACCGGGGAGGGUCAUUGGAAACUGGGAAACUUGAGUGCAGAAGAGGAGAGUGGAAUUCCACGUGUAGCGGUGAAAUGCGUAGAGAUGUGGAGGAACACCAGUGGCGAAGGCGACUCUCUGGUCUGUAACUGACGCUGAGGAGCGAAAGCGUGGGGAGCGAACAGGAUUAGAUACCCUGGUAGUCCACGCCGUAAACGAUGAGUGCUAAGUGUUAGGGGGUUUCCGCCCCUUAGUGCUGCAGCUAACGCAUUAAGCACUCCGCCUGGGGAGUACGGUCGCAAGACUGAAACUCAAAGGAAUUGACGGGGGCCCGCACAAGCGGUGGAGCAUGUGGUUUAAUUCGAAGCAACGCGGAGGACCCUUACCAGGUCUUGACAUCCCUCUGACAACCCUAGAGAUAGGGACUUUCCCUUCGGGGACAGAGUGACAGGUGGUGCAUGGAUGUCGUCAGCUCGUGUCGUGAGAUGUGGGGUAGUCCCGCAACGAGCGCAACCUUGAUCUUAGUUGCCAGCAUUCAGUUUGGGCCACCUCU
RNAcentral lists this ribosomal RNA (1124 nucleotides) under Bacillus altitudinis. Its description in RNAcentral is "bacterial SSU rRNA". It matches the Rfam family "Bacterial small subunit ribosomal RNA", at positions 34 to 1141 of the family's 1533-position model. Lineage: Bacteria; Bacillati; Bacillota; Bacilli; Caryophanales; Bacillaceae. The record is from RNAcentral.